GACGAACGCUGGCGGCGUGCCUAAUACAUGCAAGUAGAACGCACAGUUUAUACCGUAGCUUGCUACACCAUAAACUGUGAGUUGCGAACGGGUGAGUAACGCGUAGGUAACCUGCCUGGUAGCGGGGGAUAACUAUUGGAAACGAUAGCUAAUACCGCAUAAUAUUAAUUAUUGCAUGAUAAUUGAUGGAAAGAUGCAAUUGCAUCACUACCAGAUGGACCUGCGUUGUAUUAGCUAGUAGGUGAGGUAACGGCUCACCUAGGCGACGAUACAUAGCCGACCUGAGAGGGUGAUCGGCCACACUGGGACUGAGACACGGCCCAGACUCCUACGGGAGGCAGCAGUAGGGAAUCUUCGGCAAUGGACGAAAGUCUGACCGAGCAACGCCGCGUGAGUGAAGAAGGUUUUCGGAUCGUAAAGCUCUGUUGUAAGAGAAGAACGGGUGUGAGAGUGGAAAGUUCACACUGUGACGGUAUCUUACCAGAAAGGGACGGCUAACUACGUG
Molecule: ribosomal RNA, 505 nt
Filed under: uncultured bacterium
Lineage: Bacteria
Description: partial 16S ribosomal RNA
Rfam family: Bacterial small subunit ribosomal RNA
Source: RNAcentral